GGGCGGGGGGUGUAGGUGACGUCAGGACUGCAGUCCCGAGGAGAGCGGCUGGAGAGGACUGCGCGCUCUUAGCCAAGGAAGCUGGAGGCGCACUCAGGCAGCCGCGGCUCCCGCGCUCCUCCCUCUCCUCUGCACCCGCUGUCACGCUGCUCACCCUCAGAACCGCGCCAGCUACCAGGUGAAUUGAAAGUCGUUUCCGGGGGAGGACGGAGAGGGUGCUGCAGUCCUGGCAUGCACUAAAACUGCAAGUCGGACAGAAACAACCCAGCAGAGGAGCUGAGCGCGCGGCGCUGAGCGCAGCAUCCCGGGGCGAAGGCUGCCACUGUUCAGCCGGCAGCCAAGCGCGGCGGCCAGACCUCCGCCCCGCACUCCGGCCCGGGGCUCGCUCGCUGGAGAGAGACUCCUUUCCCUUCUUGCGCAUUUCGCAGCUGCGCUGGUGUGGGGAAUGCGAGCGUGGUGGCUCCUUGUCGCCACGGAGCAGCUGCCGGUGCUAGAGCGAGCAGAGGCGAGGGGGCGGCAGCCUCGGCCCGAAAACUAUUCCCUUGGACCCUCAGUUUAAUGACUUCUAUCCACAAGCACAACUCUUAUCUGCAGCAAGAAAUAUUGAAUAUGGGCUCCCGCAGAGGCUCCACGGGAACCAGAUUGCCCAGGGCACACGGUUCAGCUGCACCAACAGCCAGUGCAGAGAAGUUACCAGAUGGAGAUACUGGGGUCCUAAGUCUGUAGCUGAUUACACAGCAUCCCAGAUACAAAAGUGGAGCCACCGGCCCGAGCCCGUGGAUAUCUUCCCCAUAGGACUGUACUACUCAUCUGUGGAGUCCUCCUCCUCCUCCUUAUUUUCUUUUUAGGUAAGUUCUGUUCUUUUUAUUAAAUCAUAAAAAUGAGCAUUGAUC
RNAcentral lists this long non-coding RNA (893 nucleotides) under Ictidomys tridecemlineatus (thirteen-lined ground squirrel). RNAcentral describes it as "lncRNA (ENSSTOG00000034555.1)". The record is from RNAcentral. Lineage: Eukaryota; Metazoa; Chordata; Mammalia; Rodentia; Sciuridae.